UCCACCAGUUUAUCCCUUCAUGACAAACAGAAAUCAGUUUUAGCAAUUGGAUCCUCAUCUGAUUUUUCAGAAUCACACAAAAAUCCGCAGGAUGAGAUUUCUGAAUUAUCUGAGCAUACUCCACCACCAGCAACAUCCCCAAAUGUUGCCACCCUGAAAAACAAGCAACCUCCUCCUGAUCACCCUGUUGAUACCAAAGAAAGAAGAGAUGUACGCAGGCGUUUAUCCUUGCAUACAGAUACAAGUGGUCAGGAUACAUCCAAACACAUUCUCCCUGAUGCUGAUAGUUUGGAAACCCAUUUACACCCUACCACUAGAUCUACACUUCGUUCCCAUGCUGCUGCUCAUUCUGAUAUUCCCCACGGUGAUCCAUCAACUUAACAGAAGUUCCCAAGCUUCCUCAAAGAAAUAGCUACCUAUUGACAAACCCCGCCUCUGGACCUUUUUGUACCAAUAUGGAUAACUCAAGACUUGACAACACAGGAAUCUACCUUGGUUCCUUCCUGGUUGUGCCAGCAAACUUAAUAGGCUACGUUUUUAUUUUGCUGUGAAUAUGACUCUAGCCUCGAACCUGCUACCGAUGAACCUCUGUACAUAUAACCGUCGUAGACAUUACCCCUCCACUAUAGCACCUCCUGCCUGUGUGAUGCAUCUCGUCCUCUAAGCACACU
Molecule: long non-coding RNA, 671 nt
Organism: Phragmites australis (common reed)
Lineage: Eukaryota; Viridiplantae; Streptophyta; Magnoliopsida; Poales; Poaceae
Exons: 6
Source: RefSeq, a predicted model, not a curated record